GGCCUAAUGGUCUAGUAGUAUGAUUCUCGCUUUGGGUGGGGAUUAUAUUGCCACAAAUUGCCAUUUGCGAGAGGUCCUGGGUUCAAUUCCCAGUUGGGCCC
Marasmius oreades (fairy-ring Marasmius) is the source of this 101-nucleotide non-coding RNA. The record is from the annotation of a RefSeq genome assembly. NCBI's taxonomy places the organism in Eukaryota, Fungi, Basidiomycota, Agaricomycetes, Agaricales, Marasmiaceae.